AGAAAACUUACCUGGCCGCCUCUCAUCUCUCAUCCAACUCUCUCCCUCUCGCCAUGCAACCGUAAAACCAGGUUCUUAAUUCUAAGAAUGGACAAUACAAAAACUUAAGGGAUAUAAGGGUUAUUGGAAUAUUCAGAUGCUUACCCCGAUGACUCCGGCGGGAUUCCUCCUCUCGACGAAGGUAACUCUUUCCUCGGCUCAGGAAAUCUGUGAUUACAAGAACGAAAAUGAGCCCCCUUUGAUUACAACGAAACCUCCUUUUGUUCGGUUUGAUGGGAGCAGUUAAAUAUUUGGCGUAUGCAAUGACGUUCUCUGAAGAUUUGGGUGCUUCACGUGAUGGUGUUGCAGGACAUUUGGUGGCAGCUCAUACACGUGAAUGAGAACAGCAAUGAAGCACACAUGCACCUCUGAUGACUGACGGGUCAUAUCCGAGCUUGGGCUGAUUCGAAUUAAUUUUCUGGGUUCCUGGAUUUGUUGUAAUUGGGCUACAAAAUAUGUAAUAAUA
Long non-coding RNA from Hibiscus syriacus, 505 nucleotides. RefSeq lists it as uncharacterized. NCBI's taxonomy places the organism in Eukaryota, Viridiplantae, Streptophyta, Magnoliopsida, Malvales, Malvaceae. The record is from RefSeq and is a predicted model, not a curated record. The transcript is spliced from 4 exons.